Molecule: ribosomal RNA, 312 nt
Filed under: uncultured Chloroflexota bacterium
Lineage: Bacteria; Bacillati; Chloroflexota
Description: bacterial SSU rRNA
Rfam family: Bacterial small subunit ribosomal RNA
Source: RNAcentral
CACGGGAAACUGUGGCUAAUACCGCAUAAUCUCGCCGGGNCGGNUNUUUUCGGUGAGGAAAGCUGAGGCGAUUUGGGAGGGGCCUGCGGUCGAUUAGCUGGUUGGUGGGGUAAAAGCCUACCAAGGCGAUGAUCGAUAGCUGUUCUGAGAGGAAGACCAGCCACACGGGAACUGAGACACGGUUCCGACUCCUACGGGGGGCAGCAGUGAGGAAUAUUGCGCAAUGGGGGAAACCCUGACGCAGCAACGCCGCGUGGAGGACGAAGGUUUUCGGAUUGUAAACUCCUUAACUGGGGGAAGAGAGANGGACGG